GUUAGUUUGGGCUAUCUGCAUAAAGAUGAAUUAGUUUGGAAGCCAAAUUUCAUUACUCCUACUACAAAGAUAGGCUCAAUAACAGAUGCAACAAAUUUUAACUAUCAUUUCCGUCGGGAUCACAGAUGGUAUUGACAUGGAAGGCAUCUGUGGCACAGGCCAGUGAAGAGAUGGUUGGCUUCCUCUUCGAGUCAGAGCAAAAGGAUGUGGCAAAAAAGAUCUAAGGAUGCCAUGAGGAAUUCCAUGUGUGCAUGCAGGUCGUGCACCCGGAACACUUUGAAUUAAAGCAGGAAGCCUGAUUCUAAGCCACUAUUGCACUAAGCCCUGGAAAGAAAGAAGUGUGGAAGAAGGGAAGAGGAUGGAAGAAAAACAACCUUUUCUGAGUAAAAAGUUUAGUCUUUCUUCCAGUGUACAGUUUAAAAAUGUGGGCUCAUUGGAAUGAAUUUGAAGGUUAGGUUACAAUUUGCUUACAGCAGAUUUUACGAUUAAACUCAUUGAAUCAGCCUUUUUUUAACCUCUUAAGUGACGUAUACAUGGGAUUAAACAGAAUGAAAUUCAGUUGUUUCUCAACUCACUCUCCUAGCCUCACAUCUGUCAAAAUCAUUGCUGUUUGAUUUUCUUUUCUGCAAAGGCCCCCGAGACACAUUUGCCUUUAAGCGCUUGGGCACUGGUGGGAGCUGCGUGUUCUGGGUGUCUUUAAGUGCACUGGGCUGGGCUAGGCAACGCAGCUCGUGUGUCCCGGGAAAGCUGCAGUCUGCUGAGUGUAAGAUACACACCCAGACCACACCUUCAGAGCCAUGCAAAGCUGGAAGGAGACAGAGAUAAGGUACACUGAAAGGAAGAAAGAAACUCCUCUCUCCAAGCUGCAUCUGCUUGCUCAGGAAAGAGAUGUUUUAUGUGUUGCUACUAAAGGAAAGUGGGAUAUAGAAGAGAACAAGAAGAAAGAGAAGAAAGAAAAGGAAAGAAAAAUCUCUGUGUCAUGCUAGAGCUGCUGCAGCUUCUGAAGAUUCAUUCUUGCAGUCCUAUGGGAAGUCACCAGUUUGUUCUUUCAACAGUGUGCCAAAAGUGGAAAAAGGAAGAGUUUAAGCAACUGUCAACCAGGAAACUUUUUGUUUGUUUAUUUUUAAAAAAGAAGACUUAUCCAGCUAGCCAAGAAAUUUUGUUGAAGUUACAGGCUGUCAUUCUUUAUAAUCGCUCUACUUUCUUUUUCUUUCUGAAUCCUGCAUUUCCAUGGAGGAUGGAUAAUCUUGGGCAUUAUCCUCAUUGGCUCGGCUUAGCUCUGUCCCUUGGGGUCCUGCUGACUCUAUAAACUUUCAACUCCUAAAUCCAAUGCUGGCUCACCCAGGAAAGAAAAAAGCAAACUGAACAAUAAAAUUCAAGCUGUAGCUUCCGUUGUGACUCAAGAAUAGAAAAUGUUAAUGGCCAACAGCAUAUAAAGUGCCACUAAUCACCAAUAAUUUAUUAUUUCCCAGUGGGGUCCCCAAACAAACACCAUCUUGCCCAACUCCAUUACUAUCCAGGAUUGGAAAAGCUUUUCAAAGUUAAUUAUCUGAUUGAAUCUUCACCUAGGGUUGAGCAGUUUGAAAAUUUUUCAUAAAAAUUAAAUAUACCAAAAAGGAGAAAGUAAGUUUCCUUCCUUUCUUUUCUUUCUUAAGUCCCCCUCUUGUCUCUCUUCCUUUCCUUAGCAAGUCUUUGGCUGUGUCAGCUCUUCUAUGCAUGAUUGGUUUGCUGUGACCUAUGGAAAACUCUUACUACUUCAGGAAUUUUAUUUUGCUGGGUUUGGGCUAUAGGAUUUUGUUUUGAGGAAGUCUUAAAAGCUUAUAUUCUAGCCAAAACGUUUUAUUCUUGGAACUGCACAGAUAAAUUAGACCAUUUUGGGAAGGACCUUUGCAGUCACAUUGCCAGGAACAGUUUACAAGUGUAUCCCAAAACAUUAAGUAUUAUUUGGGUGUUCACACAAUAGGUUGAUAGGAUGUUGUUUUUUUCCUCUGCUGUUCUUAAUGCAGUAUAUACGUGGUUGAACGAAUAGUAUAAAUUCAUUUAUUGAUAAUUCUAGGAAUAAAUAGAAUACUUGAUUUGGAGGGCCCUAGUAAGUAUUUAUCAUAACAAACCCACAUUCUUAAUAUCAUACGGAAGAGAGCUUCAUUCUCCUUCAUGUACAAAAGUCGCUUCAAAAGAUUGUAUUGAAGGCCAGUCAUGGUGGCUCACGCCUGUAAUCCUAGCACUUUGGGAGGCUGAGGUGGGUGGAUAGCUUGCGGUCAGGAGUUUGAGACCAGCCUGGCCAACAUAGGAAAACCCUGUCUCUACUAAAAAUACAAAAAUUAGCUGGGUGUGGUGGCAUGCGCCUGUAAUCCCUGCUACUUGGGAGGCUGAGGCAGGAGAGUUACUUGAACCUGAGAAGCAGAGGUUGCAGUGAGCUGUGAUCGUGCCAUUGCACUCCAGCCUGGGUGACAGACUCCAUCCCAAGACAAACAAACAAACAAACAAAAAACAAAAAAACUUGUGUUGAUCAGGAAGAGCCCCAAACUCACUCUCUGGUGGACUUAACUUCUGGAGCUAGCUGCACUGGAGUUUAACUAGAAUAUUUGGAAUCUAAAUAAGAAUUUAAAUAAUUACUCAUUUUCUGUGUUGGAGUAACAAUUUUAAUGGUGCACCACAUUGUAAUUUUAUAUACUGCAUUCGAGUAAGGAAUUAAUGGGGAAGAGAACUGCAUUUGUUAAGAGCUACCUACGUGCCAGGAUCCCAGUAUAUUCUCCUUGCAGCCUUGUAGGGUGGGUAUCAGUAUCCCCCUUUCACAGAUGAAGAAAUAAAGGUCUAGGGGGGUUAGGUGACCCAACCAAUGUCAAAAAUGUAACAGCUAGCAGCCUAGGAAGGUCUAUAUUACUCCAAAUCCAUACUCUUUUCCAUGAUAACCUAUUGCCUUCAAAGGGUGAAAAGGCUAAUUUGAUAUCCACCAUUACUGCCUAUGUAGACAGGUAAAUUUCACUGAGAAUAUUAUCCCUUCCGAUGGUCUGUCAAUGAGAGGUGGGAAAGGCCAUUGCCUUUGGAUAACCUGUCUCUUCAGGAAUUUCUAGGAUGAGCAGAGUGUCUUUUCCUCUUCCUCAUUGUGUUGUCCAAGAGUAAUGGGCAGCUUGGAGGGGCAUUCCAGAAUUUCAGCCAUUCCAGAAAUUCCGGUGAAGAAUUUGAGGUGAGGGAGGAUGAAGCAUGUACUGGCACUGUUGUAUCAGGUAUAGUAACACAAUCUUGAAUCAGCCUGAGCUUUCCUAUGAUCUUCAGUUUGUGAUCUUUCCAUAGGGCCUUGAGAGUUAGACGAUCUCAACCCCAUGAUCAGAACAGGUUCAUGGUUGUGUGGGAGUGGUUCCAACUCCACUAUAAUUGUGAAACAUGCAGGCUCAUAUUCUGGGAUACAUGCUUCUCCAGCUGUCAACACCUUGAUUGUUGAAUGACUAAAAUUACUUUCAUAUUAAAGACUGUUAAUUCUACAAGGAUCUUUCUCCUGAGAAUGAAACGCACUGUGAGUCAUCUCUGAGAAUUUAGGGGGUAGCAGAACCAACAACUUGACCUGAAUAGGGCUAGAUGAUUAACUAGUCAAAGAGAGGUCAAACUUUCUUACUGCAAAUUCACUCAAUCUGAAACAUGAUUAUGGUUUGCCAAAGAGAGUACCCUGAGGCAAAGAAGAUCACACAAGGUUGAAGACUAUUAGAAGAACAGGAUUCCAAAAAGAUAUGCUUCUAGUAAGGCCGACUUUGUGGGAGUGCAAACUUGAGCAGUCACAUACACUCUGUACUUUGUUUAAUGCUGUACUCUUGCUGUCUGGAUUUUUUUUUUUUUUUUUUUGAGAUCGAGUCUUGCUCUGUCGCCCAGGCUGGAGUUCAGUGGCACGAUCUCAGCUCACUGCAACCUCCGCCUCCUGGGUUCAAGUGAUUCUCCUGCCUCAGCCUCCUGAGUAGCUGGGAUUACAGGCACGCUACCACACCCAACUAAUUUUUGUAUUUUUAGUAGAGACGGGGUUUCGCCAUGUUGGCCAGGCUCCUGACUUCAGGGUGAUCCGCCCUCCUUGGCCUCCCAAAGUGCUGGGAUUACAGGCGUGAGCCACCGAGCCCUGCCGCUGUCUGGAAAAUUUUAACACUCUUUGAAUAAGGGGCUAUCACGUUUUCAUGUUGCACUGGCCUGCAAAUUAAGCAGCUGGUCUUAGCUGCUAGUAAAAUGAUGAGAACCAUCAGGGAUAAAUAAGACCAGUGAAACUGCACCCAGACGGUGUCUCAGAACAGACCGUGACAAAACAAGCAUUGGCUAUAAGUAGAACUCACCUCACCUGGUUGGUGAGUUUGUUGCCAGCACUGCAUAGGGCAGAUUUCACAGAAUGGGGAACGACAGGACUACUGGUCAGGGAAGACAGGCAUACUGGGGAAGAGUCCUCAGGGAGUAAAUUAGUAAGGCCCUUUUCCCUCUGGGGUAAUAAAACAGACACAAAGAAGAACUUGCAGGAUUAGACGACUGGGCUAGACUCAAGAAGAGUUAGGACGUACCUGCAAAUUCAGAGUAGGAUAUCCUGAAGUGCAGAAAAUAAAUCUUUAGCUAUUUUUCAUCUUUGUCCCCAAAUAAGUUUCCCAUAGGAAUGCCAUAUUGAUCAAGUUGGAAAGCCCCACACCAGGGACAAAUAUUAUAACAUAGGUUGUAGAAGAUAUUAAAAAUUGGUAAGACUUCACUCUGAGUAUCCUAGAUAAAAAGGGAGUCAGUAAUUACAUACCAAAGAACAUAACUAGGAUAACUCUUCAAUUACUUGAUUUUUUGGGGGUAACUUUUUCAUGUUUAUUAUCAUUAUCUCCAUCUACUUUUCCAUACUAUCUUUAAAAAUGGAAGAACCUGUGUGCUUAUUCUGGGUUAGAACAAGAAAGGGAGGAGGUUGGAGAAUCAUAUUAUACAUUGCAGUCUACCCUGGGGAGAGCCUACCUUGAAGAGAAAAAAAUCAUGGGAUAUAGAGUAGGAGGGGACAGCUUUUUUUUUCUUAAAGCAAGUUAAAUACCUAGGGUGUAUAGGGAGGAAGAAAAGGUCCCUUUGUGACACAGCUGGGGAUGAGCAAGAGG
Molecule: long non-coding RNA, 5087 nt
Filed under: Pan troglodytes (chimpanzee)
Lineage: Eukaryota; Metazoa; Chordata; Mammalia; Primates; Hominidae
Description: lncRNA (ENSPTRG00000053672.1)
Source: RNAcentral